AGCAAUAUAGAAUUAAUCGCUUUCGUGGUUUUUUCUUUUCUCGAGGUCGGUUAUAUCGCGUUUUCCUCCUUUCGAUUUUUCAUAUGUAGCGGAAAAGGCGGCUGAAACGAAAGCUUCGUUCGGAAUACAGCGAACUCUCUCUCUCUCUCUUAACCGGCUCCUAUUGUCUCGGUUAGAUUAGUCCGAUUACUCGAAUUGAAACGACUAAGAUUCGAAUGAUUCGAGCAACGAGAACAAGAGUAGAUACACGAAAGUGUAUCCGAAGUCAAGUAGGUAUGUAACAGGAUCACGCUGUUUUAUAGUUCGUACUUUCAUACGCUAUCGUAUAGCAUUCCUUAAAAUCACAGUUUGAUUGAAUCAUUUAGUGUUCGCAUGACGUAGCGUUACGGCCAAUAUAUUAAUAAAUACGGUUUUCGAUGCGUGAAAUCACUGAAAAGAGAAACUUCUCUUCCAGAAAAGAAUGUGAAAACGGUUAGUCUUGAAUUUUAUAGUUACUUAGCUUGGCAACUUCGUAGACUUAAUCCUAUGAUUCCUAUUUUUACAACACCGAGUAGUUUAUUUUCUCUAAAUUCGUCAUUAAAAUGUAUUACUAAUUUCAUGAAUUGACAAUAUAUAACUUAUUGUAUGAAAUUAUUGUAGAUAAAGUACUUUCAGAUACAUCGUAUGACAUGUUUCUAGAUAGUAAUUGAACAAGAUAUACGGAUUUAAUCAAACUUGUCCGAACUCAUCGAAAAUAUUUACUUUCCAGGGGAAGCUUAAUAUCAAAGACUUUUCGAAAGAAAGGAAAAUAUUUAAACAUACACAAAUCCAACGUUCAACAUUCGCUAGGCGUGUUGCGGAAUCGUCGAUUUCCAGAGUCCGGAAAAGUCGAUCGCGGACGCGUCAAUGUAUGCCGAUUUCGUCGUAACUUCACAAAGAGAAACGUGCAGAAAUGUCGGUGAAGCGAGUCGAAACGCCGAUAGCAUCGUCCGUCGACGCUUUAGAAAAUUGAACGCGGAUAAUUGGCCCGAAAGCGGGUUUCGUUGCGUCGAGCUGAUAUCACCGCGCGUAUAACACUUUCCCGCCGCUUAUACUCUGCGCUUGGCUUUGAACUUCACCGAGCUAUGCACACACGCGUUCCUUUGGUUCUCUGGAAGAGUGCGCGGCGAAUUCGUAGCAGCUUUCACGCUAUUCGAUCAUCAAUCACGCGGCUCCCGUUACGCGGCGAAGAAAACGCGGAAGCGAGCGCUACGCAGCACGGCCGCGGCGUCGCUGCUCGCUUCCAAGCCGCAUGCUCGUUUCGCUCGACCAUUCCACGAUCAUGGACCACUCUUCUAACGUUUCUAUAGAAGUACGCACAUUGUGUGCCGACUCAAGUCUUGUUUUACUGGUUUCUCGGUGAAGCUAUUUGAUUGAAAUCCUUGGGAGAUUAUACGUAUAGUCGAUUUUUGGGGGAAGAUAAUUAGCUUGUUCUAAACUCGGAUGCUGUGAAGCAAGAGAAAUAUCUGAUCUAAAUUGAUUGUUUGAGACGUUGUGUAAAUAAAAGGCGUCGCGAGGAGAUCAGUGAAACUUUAGUAGUUAACGAGAUACGUAAUAAUUAUUUUUAAACUCGUAGUGAGUAUUCAAAUAUUUCGGUAUUACAUUCUAAACGUUUUUCCUUAUACAGGGUGGUUGGUAACUGGUGGUACAAGCAGAAAGAGGGUGAUUAUACGCGAAAAAAGAAGUCGAAAAUAUAGAAUAAAAAUUUUUUUUUUAAUUUUUUACAUUUUUCCAUCGAGACAACGAUCUACAGUGAGAUCCGUUAUAACGAGACGUGAUAAAGUGCACGCGUACCGAGCGAAAAUUCAAAGUCGAUUUUCUCGGAAACAAAGCCUCAAACGAAAAAUUUUUAUUCUAUAUUUUCGACUUCUUUUUUCGCGUAGAAUCACCCCCUUUCCGUUUGUACCACCAGUUACCAACCACCCUGUAUAUUUCUUGAUAUAUGUUGCUUAAUUCUUCCUAUACCAUCAUAUAUUAAUAAAUAUAUACAUAUUCAUAAUAUUCAAACGAUACAUUUUUUUAUGCUUUACUUCAUUUUUAGUGUAAAAGUUAAAGAAGGGUUCAUUCUUGCUAACAUGUAUAAUCCUUUAUUGGAAGCACGACCAUUGUUUUGAUCAUAUUAUGAGUUAGUUACUUUCCUUAGAAAAAAUUGCCGGUCACAUUUUUACAGACGAAGAUUCAAACGUUUAAGUGCGCACUUAUGCAUUCGAAAGAACGUCUGCGAUUGGCCGACACGA
Long non-coding RNA from Bombus huntii, 2255 nucleotides. RefSeq lists it as uncharacterized. Lineage: Eukaryota; Metazoa; Arthropoda; Insecta; Hymenoptera; Apidae. The transcript has 2 exons. The record is from RefSeq and is a predicted model, not a curated record.